Molecule: ribosomal RNA, 308 nt
Filed under: Saitoella complicata NRRL Y-17804
Lineage: Eukaryota; Fungi; Ascomycota; Saitoellomycetes; Saitoellales; Saitoellaceae
Description: SSU rRNA
Rfam family: Eukaryotic small subunit ribosomal RNA
Source: RNAcentral
GGGAACACUUCUUAGAGGGACUCUCGGCAUAUCUAGCCGAUGGAAGUUUGAGGCAAAAACAGGUCUGUGAUGCCCUUAGAUGCCCUGGGCUGCACGCGCGUUACACUGACGAUUGCAACAAGUCUUUUUAUUCCUGGUCCGAUGGGAUUGGGUAAGCUUUGAAAAGAUCGUCGUGAUGGGGAUUGAACCUUGCAAUUAUUGUUCAUGAACGAGGAAUUCCUAGUAGGCGCAGUUCAUCAAACUGCGCCGAUUACGUCCCUGCCCUUUGUACACACCGCCCGUCGCUCCUACCGAUUGAAUGGAAGGGC